GAUAAAUACUCAUGGAAAGUCAACUUCUACAAAUUCCACAAAUGAUUCCUGUAUUUGGAGUAAUUCUGGUUAUAAAAGUGAAAUAGAUUGUAAGAAAGAGAGAAUAAAAGAGGAGAUUUGUGAUACUAAAUAUGAUAUAAAAUCGGAAUGUAAAGUUGUUUUGAGAAGAUUGAAU
This is a long non-coding RNA of Centruroides sculpturatus (bark scorpion), 175 nucleotides long. RefSeq lists it as uncharacterized. NCBI's taxonomy places the organism in Eukaryota, Metazoa, Arthropoda, Arachnida, Scorpiones, Buthidae. The transcript has 2 exons. The record is from RefSeq and is a predicted model, not a curated record.